This 415-nucleotide ribosomal RNA is filed under the name uncultured bacterium. RNAcentral's name for it is "bacterial SSU rRNA". It matches the Rfam family "Bacterial small subunit ribosomal RNA", at positions 402 to 809 of the family's 1533-position model. The record is from RNAcentral.
UGAGUGAAGAAGGCCUUCGGGUUGUAAAGCUCUUUUGUCAGGGAAGAAACGGCUCCGGCUAAUAUCUGGGGCUAAUGACGGUACCUGAAGAAUAAGCACCGGCUAACUACGUGCCAGCAGCCGCGGUAAUACGUAGGGUGCGAGCGUUAAUCGGAAUUACUGGGCGUAAAGCGUGCGCAGGCGGUUUGGCAAGUCAGAUGUGAAAUCCCCGAGCUCAACUUGGGAACUGCGUUUGAAACUGCCAGACUAGAAUAUGUCAGAGGGGGGUAGAAUUCCACGUGUAGCAGUGAAAUGCGUAGAGAUGUGGAGGAACACCGAUGGCGAAGGCAGCCCCCUGGGUCAAGAUUGACGCUCAUGCACGAAAGCGUGGGGAGCAAACAGGAUUAGAUACCCUGGUAGUCCACGCCCUAAACGA